CAAAAGUUUAGUGACAAAAGAUCUUGGCCACAUCUCUUUUGUAUUAGGCAUUUCGAUACUUAGAAAUUAUUCUCAAUGUAUCAUUUGGGUAUAACAAAAGAGUCGUAUCAAUAAAGUUGAAAGUAAAUUCGACAUGAAAGUCAAUAAACUAAGGAAUUGUCUUAAUCAUAAAGGGAGACUGUCUAGUCUCAAUCAUUGUCCAAAAGAAAAUUUGGA
RNAcentral lists this long non-coding RNA (216 nucleotides) under Trifolium pratense (red clover). RNAcentral's name for it is "long non-coding RNA (TPRA_LNC008797)". The record is from RNAcentral. Lineage: Eukaryota; Viridiplantae; Streptophyta; Magnoliopsida; Fabales; Fabaceae.